AGUGAACGCUGGCGGUAGGCCUAACACAUGCAAGUCGAACGGCCGCACAGUAAGAGCUUGCUCUUACGGGUGGCGAGUGGCGGACGGGUGAGGCAUACAUCGGAAUCUACUUUUUCGUGGGGGAUAACGUAGGGAAACUUACGCUACUACCGCAUACGUCCUACGGGUGAAAGCAGGGGUUCUUCGGACCUUGCGCGAUUGUAUGAGCCGAUGUCGGAUUAGCUAGUUGGCGGGGUAAAGGCCCACCAAGGCGACGAUCCGUAGCUGGUCUGAGAGGAUGAUCAGCCACACUGGAACUGAGACACGGUCCAGACUCCUACGGGAGGCAGCAGUGGGGAAUAUUGGACAAUGGGCGAAAGCCUGAUCCAGCCAUACCGCGUGAGUGAAGAAGGCCUUCGGGUUGUAAAGCUCUUUUGUUAGGAAAGAAAAGCAGCAGGUUAAUCCCCCGCUGUUCUGACGGUACCCAAAGAAUAAGCACCGGCUAACUUCGUG
This 492-nucleotide ribosomal RNA is filed under the name uncultured bacterium. RNAcentral describes it as "partial 16S ribosomal RNA". It matches the Rfam family "Bacterial small subunit ribosomal RNA", at positions 29 to 507 of the family's 1533-position model. The record is from RNAcentral.